UACGUAGGCAGCAAGCGUUGUUCGGAGUUACUGGGCGUAAAGAGUGCGUAGGCGGUCCUAUAAGUUCCGUGUGAAAUCUCCCGGCUCAACUGGGAGGGUGCGCGGAAGACUGUAGGGCUUGAGUGUGGGAGAGGUAAGCGGAAUUCCUGGUGUAGCGGUGAAAUGCGUAGAGAUCAUGAGGAAGACCAGUGGCGAAGGCGGGUCUCUGGACAGUUCCUGACACUGAGACACGAAGGCCAGGGGAGCAAACGGG
RNAcentral lists this ribosomal RNA (253 nucleotides) under uncultured bacterium. RNAcentral's name for it is "partial 16S ribosomal RNA". It matches the Rfam family "Bacterial small subunit ribosomal RNA", at positions 524 to 776 of the family's 1533-position model. The record is from RNAcentral.